Molecule: ribosomal RNA, 315 nt
Filed under: uncultured eukaryote
Lineage: Eukaryota
Description: partial 18S ribosomal RNA
Rfam family: Eukaryotic small subunit ribosomal RNA
Source: RNAcentral
CCCUUAGACGUUCUGGGCCGCACGCGCGCUACACUGACCAGUGCAACAAGCAUCCGUCCUUGGCCGACAGGCCCGGGCAAUCUUUGAACGCUGGUCGUGAUGGGGAUAGACUUUUGCAAUUUUUGGUCUUCAACGAGGAAUUCCUAGUAAACGCAAGUCAUCAACUUGCAUUGAUUACGUCCCUGCCCUUUGUACACACCGCCCGUCGCACCUACCGAUUGAAUGGUCCGGUGAAGCCUCCGGAUUGGCGCGCACCUCGGUGCCGCCGAGAAGUUGGCUAAACCUCACCAUUUAGAGGAAGGUGAANUCGUAACA